UACAGAGGGGGCAAGCGUUGUUCGGAAUUACUGGGCGUAAAGGGCGCGUAGGCGGCCUGUUAAGUCGAACGUGAAAUCCCCGGGCUCAACCCGGGAACUGCGUCCGAUACUGGCAGGCUUGAAUCCGGGAGGGGGAUGCGGAAUUCCAGGUGUAGCGGUGAAAUGCGUAGAUAUCUGGAGGAACACCGGUGGCGAAGGCGGCAUCCUGGACCGGUAUUGACGCUGAGGCGCGAAAGCCAGGGGAGCAAACGGG
RNAcentral lists this ribosomal RNA (253 nucleotides) under uncultured bacterium. RNAcentral describes it as "partial 16S ribosomal RNA". It matches the Rfam family "Bacterial small subunit ribosomal RNA", at positions 524 to 776 of the family's 1533-position model. The record is from RNAcentral.